Suricata suricatta (meerkat) is the source of this 815-nucleotide long non-coding RNA. RefSeq lists it as uncharacterized. Lineage: Eukaryota; Metazoa; Chordata; Mammalia; Carnivora; Herpestidae. The transcript is spliced from 2 exons. The record is from RefSeq and is a predicted model, not a curated record.
UAGCCCGAGGAUGUUUAGACCACCCCGCCUCCCACCUUGAGAAACUUGCACGGAUGGGGACUGGCUGAAGGCGAAGGUUACCUGUGAGCCGGGCGAACCCGGUAAUGCUCUCGGGGACAGGGAGCCGCUUUAGAUAGGCGGGGAGCUGCACCUUCACGAUGCGGGCCACGCUCUCCAGCACCAUCCUCGCGAGCAGCGUUCACUCCCCUCUGAGCCCGCGCCGCUCUCAGGCGGGCUGCCGCGCCUGCGCCGAGAGCAGAAGCGGCCGCCGGGCGUCGCGGCCUGGGUCCAGCGGCCGGCAGGAGGGGGCGGCGCUGGGGGCCCCCUGAGGAGAGGUGACCUGCUGGGCUCCGAUUGGCAGCGGGCGAGUGACGUGCGCGCCCCGCGGACGCCGAGGGGGCGCGCGCGGCCGCGAAGUGCGGAGCCGCGGGAAUGGAUGACUAGGGCGGGCCUUUGUGGAAACUCGGUUUUGAAGAGGGCCUGCGUUCUCGCUGGGCUCUUCAACCUCUAUCCGUAGAUGCUGGAGGCCAGCAGGGAGGAUAGUGUGUCCGGUGAGACAAGGCAUGUGAACGUGCUUUGCAUCCGGAAAGUGCCUUUCAAAACUCCUGGUUUGCUGGUGGUACCUGGCAGAAAUGGAACUCCUGACCAUGAGACAUCAAGUGACUAUGUGAAUGAUUAAAAUACUACUCAUCAUGAACUGGUGUUAUUAGAUUCACCAAUCAUACAACUGGAUGGACGUAACAGUGGUUGGCUCCCUACAAGACUGGGAACAUGGCCACAACUAGACUGAAUAAACACGUGACUCAGACUACUAC